This 466-nucleotide ribosomal RNA is filed under the name uncultured bacterium. Its description in RNAcentral is "partial 16S ribosomal RNA". It matches the Rfam family "Bacterial small subunit ribosomal RNA", at positions 28 to 507 of the family's 1533-position model. The record is from RNAcentral.
GACGAACGCUGGCGGCGCGCCUAACACAUGCAAGUCGAACGAGCGAGAGAGAGCUUGCUUUCUCAAGCGAGUGGCGAACGGGUGAGUAACGCGUGAGGAACCUGCCUCAAAGAGGGGGACAACAGUUGGAAACGACUGCUAAUACCGCAUAAGCCCACAGGUCGGCAUCGACCAGAGGGAAAAGGAGCAAUCCGCUUUGAGAUGGCCUCGCGUCCGAUUAGCUAGUUGGUGAGGUAACGGCCCACCAAGGCAACGAUCGGUAGCCGGACUGAGAGGUUGAACGGCCACAUUGGGACUGAGACACGGCCCAGACUCCUACGGGAGGCAGCAGUGGGGAAUAUUGCACAAUGGGGGGAACCCUGAUGCAGCGACGCCGCGUGGAGGAAGAAGGUCUUCGGAUUGUAAACUCCUGUUGUUGAGGAAGAUAAUGACGGUACUCAACAAGGAAGUGACGGCUAACUACGUG